CAGCCGCCCGGUAAUACGAAGGGGGCUAGCGUUGUUCGGAAUUACUGGGCGUAAAGCGCACGUAGGCGGCUUUGUAAGUCAGAGGUGAGAGCCUGGAGCUCAACUCCAGAACUGCCUUUGAGACUGCAUCGCUUGAAUCCAGGAGAGGUGAGUGGAAUUCCGAGUGUAGAGGUGAAAUUCGUAGAUAUUCGGAAGAACACCAGUGGCAAAGGCGGCUCACUGGACUGGUAUUGACGCUGAGGUGCGAAAGCGUGGGGAGCAAACAGGAUUAGAUACCCCGGUAGUCCCUGUCUCUUAUACA
Molecule: ribosomal RNA, 301 nt
Filed under: uncultured bacterium
Lineage: Bacteria
Description: partial 16S ribosomal RNA
Rfam family: Bacterial small subunit ribosomal RNA
Source: RNAcentral